Caenorhabditis elegans is the source of this 149-nucleotide non-coding RNA. The record is from Ensembl. Lineage: Eukaryota; Metazoa; Nematoda; Chromadorea; Rhabditida; Rhabditidae.
AGAAUCACAGUGAUGACAGCGACUUUAGAAACAAAAAUGAAGGACAAGAAGUAGAAGAAGGGGACGGCUGUUUGCAAUUUGUACUCGAGGGAAUCAGCUGGAGAUUCGUAGUUACGAGAACACAACGAAAAAGACACACAUUAAUCCUG